Molecule: ribosomal RNA, 497 nt
Filed under: uncultured bacterium
Lineage: Bacteria
Description: partial 16S ribosomal RNA
Rfam family: Bacterial small subunit ribosomal RNA
Source: RNAcentral
GAUGAACGCUGGCGGCGUGCCUAAUACAUGCAAGUCGAGCGAACAGACGAGGAGCUUGCUCCUCUGAUGUUAGCGGCGGACGGGUGAGUAACACGUGGAUAACCUACCUAUAAGACUGGGAUAACUUCGGGAAACCGGAGCUAAUACCGGAUAACAUGUUGAACCGCAUGGUUCAACAGUGAAAGACGGUCUUGCUGUCACUUAUAGAUGGAUCCGCGCCGCAUUAGCUAGUUGGUAAGGUAACGGCUUACCAAGGCAACGAUGCGUAGCCGACCUGAGAGGGGGAUCGGCCACACUGGAACUGAGACACGGUCCAGACUCCUACGGGAGGCAGCAGUAGGGAAUCUUCCGCAAUGGGCGAAAGCCUGACGGAGCAACGACGCGUGAGUGAAGAAGGUCUUCGGAUCGUAAAACUCUGUUAUUAGGGAAGAACAAAUGUGUAAGUAACUAUGCACGUCUUGACGGUACCUAAUCAGAAAGCCACGGCUAACUACGUG